GGCAAUCCAUUUCCUUGAUAUUUUCCUCAAAGCGAUGAGCCUGAGGCACGCGAGCAGGGUGCUGCUGAGGGCGGCGCAGGCCGUCGCGAGCAUACGAGUUUGUUCAUGGGCAUGUAAGCGUGCAUAUGUCAAAUUAGGAUGGUAUUGUAUCAUCAGUGAACACUUGUUCUCUUUUCCUUUCGUAAAUUAUUAAGAGUGCGCCUAGGUCUUAAUCGACUGAGAUUUAAUCAAGUCUCAGUCAAGUGACAUAACAUGCAAAAAAGAAAACGAAAAAACUGAAGAAAAUAAAUUACACAGAUCUCAAUGUAAGAUUUUACAAAUAUAACAUCGAUUGAGACUUCGUCGACGUUUUUAGUCGACUGAGACUUUAUGAAGUCUGAAUUAUUAAUCUUUUUUUUGAGGGACUGAAUUAUUAAUCUUGCCCGUGAUAUGCAACCCUAAACACAUGUUGUUUGAUGACUGUUUUUUUUUUGCAGGAUGUUUGAUGACUGUUUGAAUGCUCAGUGGACCGGUAGAAACAGAGGAUUCUGAAUACUCCUGCCUGUUAGUAGGAAGCGUGCUGUACAUCGAAGUGGCUGAAAAUGUGCUAGACUAAUGAGGGUUUUUCAAAAAAAAAAACAUAUGGUAGACUGUUGUAUCUUGUCUAAAUUUCUUUCCAACAAUAAGCUGAACAGCCGCUGAAUUA
Molecule: long non-coding RNA, 685 nt
Filed under: Triticum aestivum (bread wheat)
Lineage: Eukaryota; Viridiplantae; Streptophyta; Magnoliopsida; Poales; Poaceae
Description: long non-coding RNA (TAES_LNC021505)
Source: RNAcentral